CUCCCGGGUAACCUACCACCCUUUGUUUAUUACACUUUGUAGCUUUGGCAGGCCUGCCCUCGGGCUGCUGGCUCCGGCCGGCGAGCGCUUGCCAGAGGACUAAACUCUGUUUGUCCAUACUGUCUGAGUACUAUAUAAUAGUUAAAACUUUCAACAACGGAUCUCUUGGUUCUGGCAUCGAUGAAGAACGCAGCGAAAUGCGAUAAGUAAUGUGAAUUGCAGAAUUCAGUGAAUCAUCGAAUCUUUGAACGCACAUUGCGCCCCCUGGUAUUCCGGGGGGCAUGCCUGUCCGAGCGUCAUUACAACCCUCAAGCUCAGCUUGGUAUUGGGCCCCGCCGACCCGGCGGGCCCUAAAGUCAGUGGCGGUGCCGUCCGGCUCCGAGCGUAGUAAUUCUUCUCGCUCCGGAGGUCCGGUCGUGUGCUUGCCAG
Molecule: unclassified non-coding RNA, 429 nt
Filed under: Pseudogymnoascus destructans
Lineage: Eukaryota; Fungi; Ascomycota; Leotiomycetes; Thelebolales; Thelebolaceae
Description: sequence contains ITS1, 5.8S rRNA gene, ITS2
Rfam family: 5.8S ribosomal RNA (bases 146-299)
Source: RNAcentral